This is a non-coding RNA of Myotis lucifugus (little brown bat), 97 nucleotides long. Lineage: Eukaryota; Metazoa; Chordata; Mammalia; Chiroptera; Vespertilionidae. The record is from Rfam.
AUCACUUGGGGAUCUUGUUAAAUGCAGAGUCUGACUCAGUAGGUCUGAAGUAGAGCCUGAGAUUCUGCAUUUCUAACAUGCUCCCAGGGGAUGCUGA